UAGAUACCCUGGUAGUCCCAGCUGUAAACGAUGGCAACUAGAUGUGGGAGGUAUCGACCCCUUCCGUGUCGUCGCUAACGCUUUAAGUUGCCCGCCUGGGGAGUACGGCCGCAAGGUUAAAACUCAAAGGAAUUGACGGGGGCCCGCACAAGCGGUGGAGCAUGUGGUUUAAUUCGACGCUACGCGAAGAACCUUACCUGGGCUCGAACGACUAGUAGUAGUCCUUUUGAAAGAGAGGGCGACCCGCAAG
This 250-nucleotide ribosomal RNA is filed under the name uncultured bacterium. Its description in RNAcentral is "partial 16S ribosomal RNA". It matches the Rfam family "Bacterial small subunit ribosomal RNA", at positions 779 to 1024 of the family's 1533-position model. The record is from RNAcentral.